GUGACCUCAAAUCAGGUAGGACUACCCGCUGAACUUAAGCAUAUCAAUAAGCGGAGGAAAAGAAACUAACAAGGAUUCCCCUAGUAACUGCGAGUGAAGCGGGAAAAGCUCAAAUUUAAAAUCUGGCAGUCUUUGGCUGUCCGAGUUGUAAUCUAGAGAAGUGUUAUCUGCGCUGGACCGUGUACAAGUCUCCUGGAAUGGAGCGUCAUAGAGGGUGAGAAUCCCGUCUUUGACACGGACUACCAGGGCUUUGUGAUGCGCUCUCAAAGAGUCGAGUUGUUUGGGAAUGCAGCUCAAAAUGGGUGGUAAAUUCCAUCUAAAGCUAAAUAUUGGCGAGAGACCGAUAGCGAACAAGUACCGUGAGGGAAAGAUGAAAAGAACUUUGGAAAGAGAGUUAAACAGUACGUGAAAUUGCUGAAAGGGAAACGCUUGAAGUCAGUCACGUUGUCCAGGGAUCAACCUUGCUUUUGCUUGGUGUACUUUCUGGUUGACGGGUCAGCAUCAAUUUUGACUGUUGGAAAAAGGUCAAGGGAAUGUGGCAUCCUCGGAUGUGUUAUAGCCCUUGGUUGUAUACAAUGGUUGGGAUUGAGGAACUCAGCACGCCGCAAGGCCGGGUUUUUAACCACGUACGUGCUUAGGAUGCUGGCAUAAUGGCUUUAAUCGACCCGUCUUGAAACACGGACCAAGGAGUCUAACAUGCCUGCGAGUGUUUGGGUGGAAAACCCGAGCGCGUAAUGAAAGUGAAAGUUGAGAUCCCUGUCGUGGGGAGCAUCGACGCCCGGACCAGACCUUUUGUGACGGUUCCGCGGUAGAGCAUGUAUGUUGGGACCCGAAAGAUGGUGAACUAUGCCUGAAUAGGGUGAAGCCAGAGGAAACUCUGGUGGAGGCUCGUAGCGAUUCUGACGUGCAAAUCGAUCGUCAAAUUUGGGUAUAGGGGCGAAAGACUAAUCGAACCAUCUAGUAGCUGGUUCCUGCCGA
Molecule: ribosomal RNA, 978 nt
Filed under: Cortinarius ignotus
Lineage: Eukaryota; Fungi; Basidiomycota; Agaricomycetes; Agaricales; Cortinariaceae
Description: eukaryotic LSU rRNA
Rfam family: Eukaryotic large subunit ribosomal RNA
Source: RNAcentral